This 107-nucleotide small nuclear RNA is filed under the name Catagonus wagneri (Chacoan peccary). The record is from RNAcentral. Lineage: Eukaryota; Metazoa; Chordata; Mammalia; Artiodactyla; Tayassuidae.
GUGCUCACUUCGGCGGCACAUAUACUAAAACUGGAACCAUACAGAGAGGACUGGCAUGGCCCCUCCACAACGAUGAUACAUAAAUUUGUGACGCAUUCCAUAUUUUU